Transfer RNA from Catenibacterium sp. CAG:290, 73 nucleotides. It matches the Rfam family "tRNA". From Rfam's summary of the family: Transfer RNA (tRNA) molecules are approximately 80 nucleotides in length. NCBI's taxonomy places the organism in Bacteria, Bacillati, Bacillota, Erysipelotrichia, Erysipelotrichales, Coprobacillaceae. The record is from Rfam.
GGGGCCUUAGCUCAGCUGGGAGAGCGCCUGCUUUGCACGCAGGAGGUCAGGAGUUCGAUCCUCCUAGGCUCCA